This 74-nucleotide transfer RNA is filed under the name [Phormidium] sp. LEGE 05292. Its description in RNAcentral is "tRNA-Leu". It matches the Rfam family "tRNA". Rfam says of the family: Transfer RNA (tRNA) molecules are approximately 80 nucleotides in length. Their secondary structure includes four short double-helical elements and three loops (D, anti-codon, and T loops). The record is from RNAcentral. RNAcentral also lists the same sequence under 1 other name. Lineage: Bacteria; Bacillati; Cyanobacteriota; Cyanophyceae; Aerosakkonematales; Aerosakkonemataceae.
GCCCCUGUGACGUAAUUGGAAACCGUCGCAAGCUCAAACCUUGCGUUUUGCUGGUUCGACUCCAGUCAGGGGUA